Molecule: long non-coding RNA, 576 nt
Organism: Malurus melanocephalus (red-backed fairy wren)
Lineage: Eukaryota; Metazoa; Chordata; Aves; Passeriformes; Maluridae
Exons: 3
Source: RefSeq, a predicted model, not a curated record
CUCCACUUGGACCCUCCUUGGUGUCCCCAGCCUCCUCCAGGUGCCAUCUUGGUGGCCCCAAACCUUCUCCAGAUCCUCCAGCUCCCACCUUGGUGCCCUCAGUUUCCUCCAGGUCCAUCAAGAGCCACCUUGGUGUCCCCAAAUCUUCUCCAGGUUCCAUCUUGGUGCCCCCAGCUCCACCAGGACCCAUCUUGGUGGCCCCCAUCUCCACCAUGUCUCACUUUGGUGUCCUCAACCUUCUCCAGGUCCCAUCUUGGUGGCCCCCAUCUCUUCCAGGUUCCACCUUGGUGGCCCCCAUCUCCUGCAGAUCUUCCAGGACCCAUCUUGGUGCCCUCAGGUCCACCAAGAGCCUCACUGGUGUCCCCAAAUUUCCACCUGGACCCACCUGAGCACCCACCGCCUCCUUCAGGUCCUCCAGGACCCACCUUGGUGUACCCCAACCUCCUCCAGAUCCCACCUUGGUGGCCCCAACCUCCUCCAGAUCCUUCAGGACCAAUCUUGGUGCCCUCAGGUCCACCAAGAACCACCUUGGUGCCCCCAAAUCUCCUCCAGGUGCCACCUUGGUGGCUCCAACCU